This 305-nucleotide ribosomal RNA is filed under the name uncultured bacterium. RNAcentral describes it as "bacterial SSU rRNA". It matches the Rfam family "Bacterial small subunit ribosomal RNA", at positions 337 to 634 of the family's 1533-position model. The record is from RNAcentral.
GCCUACGGGAGGCAGCAGUGGGGAAUAUUGCGCAAUGGGCGAAAGCCUGACGCAGCGACGCCGCGUGAGGGAUGAAGGUCUUCGGAUCGUAAACCUCUGUCAGCAGGGAAGAACGGUCACUGUGCUAAUCAGCAGUGAAUUGACGGUACCUGCAAAGGAAGCACCGGCUAACUCCGUGCCAGCAGCCGCGGUAAUACGGAGGGUGCGAGCGUUAAUCGGAUUUACUGGACGUAAAGCGCUCGUAGGCGGUAUUUCAAGUCAAGGGUGAAAUCCCCGCGCUCAACGUGGGAACUGCCUUUGAAACU